UCCUCCCCACCUCGGUCUUGCGGCCUCUCCAGGGCUCAGGCACAGAGUCCCACAGCCUCCCUGGAGCCCGACCUCUUCAGUGGGUCCAGGUCCAGCAGGUCCACCAUGGCGUCAACCCUGAAAGAGGAAGCAGCUGAGCUGGACGCACACCACACCUUGGGGCCCUGGGAACGCCACACCGCUCUGCAGACAGCCCUGCCAGAUGCAGCCACCAAGGCCCUGUGUCAGCCUUUGCUUCCUCUUAAUAUGAAACUAUUUCUAACAUGCAUUUCUCCCAUAGAACCAAACUGCCCAGGGCCCCAGAGGGGAAGAUGUCUCAGCAGACGGACAGCCGAGGCUCACAUGGCAAGCUCUGGCAGCCUGUCGGUCCCAGGAGAGAGGGGGAGGUGAGUGAACUGAGGGAGGGCCAGGUGACAGGUCACAAACAAUGAAACUUCCUCUGGGCACAGCAGAGGUUGGUUUUGUUUUGGGGGUGAUGUGGCGCGGCACUGUUGCUUGGGGAAUAUUUGGUUUUUGUCUUAUUUUGUGGGGGUCGUGGAGCAGUGCUGCUGUUCUAAGGAUGUUUGGUGUCUGUCGUAUUUUGUGGGGGUUGUGGAGCAGUGCUGUUUUUCUGGGAGUUAUUUGGCUUCUGUCUUAUUUUGUGGGGUUGUAGAGCGGCGCUAUUAUUCUGGAAAUGUUUGGUUUCUGUCUUAUUUUGUGGGGGUCGUGGAGCAGUGCUGCUGUUCUAAGGAUGUUUGGUGUCUGUCGUAUUUUGUGGGGGUUGUGGAGCAGCGCUGUUUUUCUGGGAGUAUUUGGCUUCUGUCUUAUUUUGUGGGGUUGUAGAGCGGCGCUAUUAUUCUGGAAAUGUUUGGUUUCUGUCUUAUUUUGUGGGGGUCGUGGAGCAGUGCUGCUGUUCUAAGGAUGUUUGGUGUCUGUCGUAUUUUGUGGGGGUUGUGGAGCAGCGCUGUUUUUCUGGGAGUAUUUGGCUUCUGUCUUAUUUUGUGGGGUUGUAGAGCGGCGCUAUUAUUCUGGAAAUGUUUGGUUUCUGUCUUAUUUUGCUUCGCCCAGCCUCGGCCUGCUGUGUUUAUGGUUAAAAUAACUCUGUGGGCAAACCCGAGUCUCCAGCUCUCAUCCGCUGUCCCCUGGGCUCCCUCACUUCCUUUCAUCCACAGCGCCCACUGCAAGUGAUAUUCUUAUAAUACACUGAGCAACUAUUUUAGUAACACAGAAACUUUCUGGGGAUAUGACCCACUUUAAACAGUUAUCUAGGGAGAGGGAAGAAAGUGAUUUCGCUCCAGGCCUGGGCAUCUCCUUUCACCCACAUUUCAUUUUGCUUAAUCCC
RNAcentral lists this long non-coding RNA (1321 nucleotides) under Homo sapiens (human). RNAcentral describes it as "HSALNT0274457". The record is from RNAcentral. Lineage: Eukaryota; Metazoa; Chordata; Mammalia; Primates; Hominidae.